Peromyscus maniculatus bairdii (prairie deer mouse) is the source of this 2263-nucleotide long non-coding RNA. RefSeq lists it as uncharacterized. The record is from RefSeq and is a predicted model, not a curated record. Lineage: Eukaryota; Metazoa; Chordata; Mammalia; Rodentia; Cricetidae.
UUCCCGCCCCACCCUGUCCCGUCCCUCCCACCAACUCCCGGCUUAGGAGCCUGCAGCUUUGGACUCGGGUGGUGGCCUCUCCGCCUCCUCCUUGGCUGACACCUGGCUGGGAGGAGCCCUGGGCAGGCGGCACAGCUGGAGUCUUGCUGAGUAAGAAGAAUCACGUUGAGGAAAGGAUCCAGGAGGUACUGGGCCCUCCUUGCCUUCCACAGGCACGGCCUGUGGGAAUGAGGCCACCGAUGACAUUGUGAGUGAGAGGACUUGAGCUGAUGAGCUGUCCUAGAACAAGCCCAGGGCAGGCCCAGGCACACAAGAGCAGCACACGGUGUUCCUUAAUUUAUCUACUAGGUUCGCUUUUAUUCACCCUUCUGGAUGCACGAAAACCCUCUCUCUCACCAAUUGUGGUGGCUCAGGCCUCUAAUCCCAGCCAGCACUCAGGAGGCAGAGACAGGGAGCUCUCUCUUUGUCCCAGGCUAUCCAGGGCUACACAGUGUCUAUCUCAAACAAACAAACACAAAAUCAAACAAACAAAAAUCAAACUACCUCUGGAGAAGGCCUCCCUCUGGGAAAGGGUGACUGACCCCUUGCUUACAAGGGGUUUCUCUCAACUCCGAUGAGCAGAACCACCUUCAAGACCUUGACAGACAGAGCCUGCUUCCCAACCCUGGCCCAGCUCUCUGCAGCCUGGACUACUAGAAUGCAUGGUGCAGGUGGCUGUCUUUGCAGUUUCCAAAAAGAUGGAAAAACGGCCCCUCCUCAAAAAGGGCUGAGGAGCUAUCAAGAAAGCCCAAUUUUCUCCCAGGGACUCUGAGAGGAAGCAUGUGUGGGAGGAAAGCCGGGCGAGUUUGGGGCCUAGGGUGAGUCUUACAGUUUGGUGGAGGCAAGAAGCACCCCAAGAGUACCAGCCUGAGGCCUCAUUCUGGAGUUCCAGCUGUUGCUCCAUAGGCUGAGACUACAGACCACUGGAACCGCAGGGAUGACCGGUUGAGCCUUGGUGGUCAACUUUGGCGGCGAGUUCCAGCUGGUGACACAGCUCCAGGCGGUUUUUCAAGCACCGCUUAGCCCCAAGGUGACUCUGGCUGGUGGCGAGGGUGGCAGGCCGCGCAUCCAGAGCCCUCAGCAGGCGCGGCAGGUCACGAAGCAGGCGGUAGCGCGGCAGAGUGCGCAGAGGCCGGGGGAUGUCGCCUUUGGGGCAGAGGCGACUGAAGUAGGCAAGCAGCAGCCGGCUUGGGGCAGCGCAGAGCAGGGUGCGAAGGGACGCGGUGCGUGGGUCGCCGCCGCUGCCGGCCAGGCUGGGGCCUGCACAGCUCCACAGCAGCAGCACGGUGCCCUGCUCCCGCGCCACGCGCUCCCGCGCCGCCCAGAGCCACGGCAGUGGUCCAAUGCGUGCCACAUGCGUCCCCUCCCAGAGAUCCACGAUGACGUCGCGCCCGCCGCCCAGCGCGGUCCGCAGCAGUUCGGCCAACGCUCCCACCAGACGCCGCUGUGCCUCUGAGUCCGCUGCGUGCAGUAGUAGAAUUGGCCGCGCUUGACCUGGGCCUGGGGACCCGAGCAACAGCUGAGUCAGGCUCGGUCAAAAGGUGCUAGGAACGUCGGAAUCCCUGGCUACCCCAGGCGAGCUUACCUGGCAGUAGGCACCGACAGAGGAGGCUCAGAACUAUGCCCAGGAGAGUGGCGAGGCCCAGCAGUGCCAGGAUCAAGAGCCCCAGGUGCCUAUGGGAGACUGAAUCAAGCAGGGUGAAGCCAAGCCACCGAAGACAGUGCCCAAGCUCCGUCUCCUCUCAUCCAAGAACUAACUCACCAUCAGGACACAAAAGGUGCUUCCAGGCAAACUGGACAUCUGACCUCCACACCUGAGGACACAGGGCCCCACUCGUGUAAAGGGCCCAGUGGCACCUCCAGAAGACUUUCUGUGCCGCCAUGAGGAAGAAGGUGGGCACAGCCAUUGUCUCCGUCCUGCACACGUGUGUGUCUCUCACUUCCCUGCACAGCUGAGGAGGCGUCUUGUCCGCCGGGAAGAAUGAGCUGUAAAGACUGGUGGCCUAGGUCGAGUCUUCGCUAUCGUCUUUCUAGUUCCCGGGUUUGUGACCUUUCCGUGGAUUUGAAUGAUAUCUCCUCCCUCCCCAGUCUCAGAUUCUUUAUUUGCAUAUGAGGGCCAAUAAUCUCUGUCGGGUUACUGGAAGCAUUAAAUGGAAAUAUGCAUAUGGAUGAUUUUAAUAAACUGAUGUUAGAAGCAGCUGUUAUCAGGCUAAGAAACGGGGGA